AGCUAUAAUUUACUUGAUCUUGACACAAUCCUACUUGGAUAACUGUGGUAAUUCUAGAGCUAAUACAUGCAUUAAAGCUCUGACCUCACGGGAAGAGUGCAUUUAUUAGAACAAAACCAAGCGGCUUCGGCUGUUUCUGGUUGACUCAUAGUAACUGAGCUGAUCGCAUGGUCUUGCACCGGCGACGUGUCUUUCAAGUAUCUGCCGUAUCAACUUUCGAUGGUAGUGUAUCUGACUACCAUGGUGAUCACGCGUAACGGAGAAUAAGGGUUCGGCUCCGGAGAGUUCGCCUGAGAAAUCGCGAACACAUCUAAGGAAGGCAGCAGGCGCGAAAAUUACCCACUCUCAGCACGAGGAGGUAGUGACGAAAAAUAACGAGACCGUUCUCUUAUGAGGCCGGUCAUCGGAAUGGGUACAAUUUAAACCCUUUAACGAGUAUCUAUGAGAGGGCAAGUCUGGUGCCAGCAGCCGCGGUAAUUCCAGCUCUCAAAGUGCAUAGAAUUAU
Molecule: ribosomal RNA, 505 nt
Filed under: Acrobeloides sp. Sourhope farm
Lineage: Eukaryota; Metazoa; Nematoda; Chromadorea; Rhabditida; Cephalobidae
Description: SSU rRNA
Rfam family: Eukaryotic small subunit ribosomal RNA
Source: RNAcentral